This is a non-coding RNA of Pelobates cultripes (western spadefoot toad), 235 nucleotides long. NCBI's taxonomy places the organism in Eukaryota, Metazoa, Chordata, Amphibia, Anura, Pelobatidae. The record is from the annotation of a GenBank genome assembly.
CUCGGUCCUUAAGGGGUUAAAACCUGAAAAAAUGUAAAAAUAUAUAUAUUUGUGUAAGGGGGAAAUAGCCGUAUAUGGAGUAAGGAUCCAGCAUAAGCGUAGGAUAGUAUAAAGGGAGCAAGUCGGUUGUGGUGUGCCGAGACCGACGAUACGGUAGGCCUGUAAAUAAAGAGGGCCUACCAAGGAGUAAGAAAGUAAAGUAAAUGGAAAGAAAAGAGAAAGUGUUGAAAUGAGG